UGGGGAAUCUUGGACAAUGGGUGCAAGCCUGAUCCAGCCAUGCCGCGUGAAGGAUGAAGUAUUUCGGUAUGUAAACUUCGAAAGAAUAGGAAGAAUAAAUGACGGUACUAUUUAUAAGGUCCGGCUAACUACGUGCCAGCAGCCGCGGUAAUACGUAGGGACCAAGCGUUGUUCGGAUUUACUGGGCGUAAAGGGCGCGUAGGCGGCAAUUCAAGUCAUCUGUGAAAUCUCCGGGCUUAACUCGGAACGGUCAGAUGAUACUGCUUUGCUAGAGUGCAGAAGGGGCAAUCGGAAUUCUUGGUGUAGCGGUGAAAUGCGUAGAUAUCAAGAGGAACACCUGAGGUGAAGACGGGUUGCUGGGCUGACACUGACGCUGAGGCGCGAAAGCCAGGGGAGCAAACGGGAUUAGAUACCCAAGUAGUCCCUGAGCGGGCUGGCAAGGCGCAU
RNAcentral lists this ribosomal RNA (447 nucleotides) under uncultured bacterium. RNAcentral describes it as "bacterial SSU rRNA". It matches the Rfam family "Bacterial small subunit ribosomal RNA", at positions 355 to 825 of the family's 1533-position model. The record is from RNAcentral.